RNAcentral lists this non-coding RNA (818 nucleotides) under Eupolyphaga hanae. Lineage: Eukaryota; Metazoa; Arthropoda; Insecta; Blattodea; Corydiidae. The record is from RNAcentral.
AUGGAGGAGUUUUAUUCUUGUUUAUUCUUGUUUAUUUUGACUUUAUUUUAUAUGUGUAUUUUUGUGUGAAUGAUUUUUUGAUUUGAUUAGUUCUUGAUGAUUAAUCAUUGGUUUAUAUGAUGUUUUGCAGUAUGUAAAUUUAUUCAUUUAAGUUUUCUUAGAUUUAGUAAUAGUUUUUGAGUUAUCGGUAAAAUUUGUGCCAGCAACCGCGGUUAUACAUGGGAUGCAAGUGAAUAUUUAUGGAUUUGUAGUUAUGUUUAUUUUUGUUUAUAAUUUAUUUUAUUUAUUUUUUGGUGGAAUAUUGAUUUUUUAUUAGUUAUUUUUUUUAUUCUGAGAUUAUGAAAUCUUAAAUAUUAAACUAGGAUUAGAUACCCUAUUAUUAAAGAUGUAAAAAAUUGUUCUUGAGUAGUACUAGUUAAGGUCUUGAAACUUAAAGAAUUUGGCGGUAUUUUAGUCUGUUUAGAGGAAUCUGCCCCGUGAUCGAUAUUCCCCGUUGGAACUUACUUGAUUUAUGUUUAUAUACCGCCGUUUUAUUGAGGAUCUUUUUAGAGCUGUGAAUUUUCUUUUUAUUUUUGUUAGAUAAUAUUUCAGGUCAAGGUUUAAUUAAUAAUUAAGUGGAGGUGGAUUACAAUAAUAUUUAUUAUACAGAUUAUUAAUUGUAAUAUUAAUAUGAAGGUGGAUUUAAUAGUAAUUUUAUUUAAUAUGUUAAUGUGAUUUUAGCUCUAGAAUGUGUACACAUCGCCCGUCGCUCUCAUUAUUUAAGGUGAGAUAAGUCGUAACAUAGUAGCGGUACUGGAAAGUGUUGCUAGAAUGAAGAU